RNAcentral lists this unclassified non-coding RNA (1087 nucleotides) under Helichrysum benthamii. RNAcentral's name for it is "contains 5' external transcribed spacer, ETS". Lineage: Eukaryota; Viridiplantae; Streptophyta; Magnoliopsida; Asterales; Asteraceae. The record is from RNAcentral.
GUUGCGUCACGGGUCGACUUAAUCACGACUUAUGAGUGACAAUAUACUCGAUGUUUAAGGCAUUGUAACCCAACAAGUGGGGAGUUCGAUUUGGUUGGGACAAAUCGAACGAUCUGCGGUAGCAACGAUAAUGGCGUGGUGUGGAUGCAAGUUCAGCCAUGCCCAAUGUCGUUGUUACUUUGUUAGGAUUCUGGAACUCGUGGAUUUGUCRAUAUGUGUGGUGAUGUCAAGUUGUUUGGGUGAUCUUAGUUCAACUUUGAUCUUGGUUUUACGCUUAACUGGUAUUUUCAUGAGGCAUGCACUAUCGGUCUUGAUUGUUGCCAUAUGAUCGGAUUGUUGGUGUAACCGAUGACAUGAUUUGGCUUGUUAAUCUUAAAACCGUGGAUGACAAUUUGACGUUGUUUCAUUUGUUGAUGAAUGUUGUUGACUGUUGGUUUGAUGCGUCGUUGAARAUGACAUUCGUCUCGAGGUGAUGCGGUGUCAUGCUGCUUGUGUAUCCUGGUUUCUAGCUAUUUGGCUUAAAACACGUGGAUUAUCGGUUAGUGACACGGCAUCGCUACCUUGGUUGAUGAAAGUCUUCCAAUGAUGCAGUGGUUUGUUUGAUUUGUUCUCGUAUCGCUCGGUGCAUUCUGUGGUCAUUUUGGCUGAUAGCGGCUUGCUUGGCAAUUGAGCUUGGUGGGUGGCUACUGGUCGGGUGUCUUCGGGGAUGUCUACCGUAAAGGUGCAUGAGUGGUGUUUGGUUUGUUACGGGUGGAUGGCUCUUUGCUUGCGCAACAACUUCCACCUGGCAUACCUCUUCAGUCUUGUGUCAAUGCUUGUAUUGCAUUGAAUGCACGGCGGGUUUCUUGUGUUGCAUGCCUAAUUAAUGGUAUCGUUUGAUGAAUUGGUUUUCCUUUCGUCUUGUSUUGCUCAUGUGAUGUGAGAUGAACCUUGAAGCAGCCUUUGCGAUCCACUCUUUUGAUGCGUACGCAUCGAUUUAGUGGCCCGUUGAGUGUUGCUUGGUCUCAUGGAUACGGAACAUGGUGYGGGCAUCGAAUCUUAAUGGUUCCUUGYUUGCCCAAGUUUAGCUUUUCUAAAACGAUUGUCU